Molecule: long non-coding RNA, 204 nt
Filed under: Mytilus galloprovincialis (Mediterranean mussel)
Lineage: Eukaryota; Metazoa; Mollusca; Bivalvia; Mytilida; Mytilidae
Source: RNAcentral
UCUGUCUAUGUGUACUACUAGGCGAUAUAUAAAUCAAUAAAAUCAUGCAUAUAAGCUUAUAUGUCCUAAGCGAUCUAAUUAUGCAUAGCCAUUAUAACAUGUAUAACUAUCUGUUAUGUAUAUAUAUGUGUGUGUGUAGCUACUGGGUAUUAAAGCUAAACAUGCAUAUUUAUUCCCUUUAUAGGUAUAGCGCGGCACAACCAC